AUAUAUAUAUAUAUAUUUGUUUAUUUAAUUUAUUUAUUUAUUGAGACGGAGUUUCGCUCUUGUUGCCCAGUGUGGGGUGCAACGGCGCAAUCUUGGCUCAUUGCAACUUCCACCUCCCCGGUUCAAGCAACUCUCCUGCCUCAGCCUCCUGAGUAGCUGGGAUUACAGGCAUGAGCCACCAUGCCCGGCUAAUUUUGUAUUUUUAGUAGAGAUGGGGUUCCUCCAUGUUGGUCAGGCUGGUCUCGAACUCCUGACCUCAGGUGAGCUGCCCGCCUCGACCUCCCAAAGUGCUGGGAUUACAGGCGUGAGCCACUGCGCCCAGCCCUGGCAUUAUAUUUUUGUAACGUUCUUACGUUAUACAUGAAGUGGUGUAAUAUUAUUGGAAAGUAGACUGGAUAUUGAAGAAUGCAUAUUGUAACACUCCAGCAACCAAAAAUAUAAGGAGGCAUAGCUAAAAAGUAAGUAGAGAAGAUGGAAUAAAAUAUUUUAUUAAGUCUCAACCAAAUAGAAGGCAGUAAAGGAGGAACAAAAGAGGGGGGACAAAUAGAUAACAAAUAGCAAGAUGAUAAAACUUAAACCCACCCAUAAUGAUAAGUAUAUUACAUAUGAAAGGACUAGGCACUGCCAUUGAAAGGCAGAUAUUGCCAGACUUGAUUGAAAAGGAUCUUAGCUGAAUUCUUGUCUGUAAAUGGUGAGAAUUAAAUGAGACUGUGAAUCAAAGCACUGAGCACAGUGCCUGGCCCACACAGGAGGCUUCUUCAGUGAAAACUCUGAACAUAUUCUAAUAAGAGUCCUGCUUUCCUUCACGCCUGUCUGUGAGCUCUGUGGGGAGGCCCCAGAGCUGAGCAUUCAUCUAAUCAGCCUUUGUGGACCUCCAACGUCAUGCCAGACAGAUGGGGCCCUUAUCACCUGGCAGUUGCAUGUAGGUUAUAUGUCUACUUUUCAGGAACAGUGAAAUGACCCCUCCUCCUGUGCCUCCUCCAAAGAGGAGUUGGAGAAGGAGCCAGGGCACAAAGAGACAGAUUGUCAAAACCAUGCCUAUGCCGGGCAUGGUGGCUCAUGCCUGUAAUCCUUGCACUUUGGGAGGCUGAGGCAGGCAGAUCACUUGAGGUCAGGAGUUCGAGACCAGCCUGACCAACAUGGUGAAACCCUGUCUCUACUAAAAAUAUGAAAAUUAGCCGGGCAUGGUGGCACACGCCUGUAAUCCCAGCCACUUGGGAGGCUGAGACAGGAUAAUCACUUCAGCCCGGGAGGCAGAGGUUGCAGUGAACCAAGAUUACGCCACUGCACUCCAGCCUAGGCAACAGAGUGAGAGUCCAUCUCAACAACAACAACAACAAAAAGACCUAAUCACCAAGGUGAUGGUGUUAGAAGGUGUUAGAAGAUGGGGAUCUUUGAAAGGUGAUUAGGUCAUGAGGGCUCUAUCCUUGUGAAUUGGAUAACUGCCCUUAUAAAAGAGGCCCCAGAGAACUGUCUUCCCCCUUCCACCAUGUGAGGAUACAGCAAGAAGGUGCCAUGUUUGAAGCAGGGAACGGGCUCAGGCACCGGAUCUACUGCUGCCUUGAUCUUGGACUUCCCAGCCUCCAGAACUGUGAGCAAUAAAUUCCGUUGUUUAUAAAUUUCCCAGUCUAAGGUAUUUUGUUACAGUAUCCUGAACUGACCAAGCCACCCCCAUGAGUCAUGAAGCUAGCAGCUUUUCGUGUAUUUGUUGGCCUCCUAAGUACUCUUGUUAUGAAGUACUUUAAUGCAAGCCCUCCCCCAUUUUUCUCUUGAAUUGUCUGCCUUUUUCUUUUUGGUUUGUAGGAGUUCUUCAUAUAUAGUGGGAAAAAAUCAUUUGGGAUGUGUGUGUGUGCGCACACGCAAAUGCAUGCAUGCACGUGUUUAAAAGGCCAAUAUUCUCUGUCCCACAAAUUCAGAACACCACAGUGGUUGGGCCAUAAUUGCACUGUGGGUGGUGGCAGGGUUUCAGACAAAAGGCAUAAUAACAUGUCACAUAAAAUUAAUCUGAUUUGAAUCGAUUUUGUACGUGAUGGGUCAAUUUGUCUUGGUCUGAUGCUUGUAUAAGAGCUACAAGGAGUUUAUAUCUCAUUUUAUGCUUGCACAUGUUUAAGUAAUACACAAUAAAAAUCAUUUAAGGCAACAGUGAGGGCCCAGGAGAUGCCCUUCUUCUCUAGGUAAGCAGGAGAUUCUCAAAACACAAAUCCAAUCUGUGACUCCCCUGCUUAAUGCAUCUCAAAAGAUCCUUUUUUUGUCUAGGAUGGAGAUGAGACUCCUUCCCCUGGUAGGCGGCCUCCUCGGACCUGCUCCCCUGCACUGUUCACUGAAGCCGCCGCCUCCUUCUGGGCAUGGUCUCUCCAUGUCUUCUCUCUCCACAUAAGCCCCCAGCCCCUGUUUUGGAGCAGCUGCUGCCCUGACCACCCCUUUUGCUUAGACUUAGCUCAAUCAUCCCUUCUCUGGGAAGCUCCCACUGUGGCCUCUGAAACCACCAUCCCAGCUGGGCACUUUGCUUCCUUUUUUUUUUUUUUUUUUGAGACAGAGUCUCGCUCUGUCGCCCAGGCUGGAGUGCAGUGGCGCCAUCUCGGCUCACUGCAACCUGUGCUCCUGGGUUCACGCCAUCCUCCUGCCUCAGCCUCCCGAGUAGCUGGAACUACAGACGCC
Molecule: long non-coding RNA, 2658 nt
Filed under: Homo sapiens (human)
Lineage: Eukaryota; Metazoa; Chordata; Mammalia; Primates; Hominidae
Description: HSALNT0355167
Rfam family: Metazoan signal recognition particle RNA (bases 1043-1159)
Source: RNAcentral